GGGCCCGUAGCUCAGCUAGGAUAGAGCGUCGGGUUGCGGACCCGGAGGUCGCGGGUUCGAAUCCCGCCGGGCCCG
Molecule: transfer RNA, 75 nt
Filed under: Candidatus Nanopusillus sp.
Lineage: Archaea; Nanobdellati; Nanobdellota; Candidatus Nanoarchaeia; Nanoarchaeales; Nanopusillaceae
Description: tRNA-Arg
Rfam family: tRNA
About the family: Transfer RNA (tRNA) molecules are approximately 80 nucleotides in length.
Source: RNAcentral